Molecule: ribosomal RNA, 164 nt
Filed under: Veronica teucrioides
Lineage: Eukaryota; Viridiplantae; Streptophyta; Magnoliopsida; Lamiales; Plantaginaceae
Description: 5.8S ribosomal RNA
Rfam family: 5.8S ribosomal RNA
About the family: 5.8S ribosomal RNA (5.8S rRNA) is a component of the large subunit of the eukaryotic ribosome. It is transcribed by RNA polymerase I as part of the 45S precursor that also contains 18S and 28S rRNA. Functionally, it is thought that 5.8S rRNA may be involved in ribosome translocation.
Source: RNAcentral
UCURAACGACUCUCGGCAACGGAUAUCUCGGCUCUCGCAUCGAUGAAGAACGUAGCGAAAUGCGAUACUUGGUGUGAAUUGCAGAAUCCCGUGAACCAUCGAGUCUUUGAACGCAAGUUGCGCCCGAAGCCUUCUGGCCGAGGGCACGCCUGCCUGGGCRUCAC